RNAcentral lists this ribosomal RNA (252 nucleotides) under uncultured bacterium. Its description in RNAcentral is "partial 16S ribosomal RNA". It matches the Rfam family "Bacterial small subunit ribosomal RNA", at positions 524 to 776 of the family's 1533-position model. The record is from RNAcentral.
UACGUAGGUCCCGAGCGUUGUCCGGAUUUAUUGGGCGUAAAGCGAGCGCAGGUGGUUUAUUAAGUCUGGUGUAAAAGGCAGUGGCUCAACCAUUGUAUGCAUUGGAAACUGGUAGACUUGAGUGCAGGAGAGGAGAGUGGAAUUCCAUGUGUAGCGGUGAAAUGCGUAUAUAUAUGGAGGAACACCGGUGGCGAAAGCGGCUCUCUGGCCUGUAACUGACACUGAGGCUCGAAAGCGUGGGGAGCAAACAGG